CGAUGGUAAAUUAAUUGCACAAUUUUUCCAUGCAUACUUUCGAGCAGCAUUCAAAAUCAAUGUGGUUAAAAUUAAAUCGAAAUGAUACUCAACUGGUGGAUUGUUUUAAUAGUUUUGUUCGUCGUAAUCUACGCUUUCAACAAGUGGCUGUGCAAAGACUGAGAUUCAGUUGCAUUUAAGAUUCGCAUUGUCGAUGAUGCCAGUCAGAAAUUUUUUGAAACGUAACCAUUUUUGAACGAACAUGAAAUUACUCGAGAUGAUACGAAGACGAACACCACAACGACGAAUAAUAUGGUAUAAUCGUCCAGUACUUUAAAUUUUUAGUAUUUUUGCGAAAUUUUUGUUUUAUUAGAUCUCAUUAUACGUAUGUAUUAGAAUGAAUAAUAAUGAAUUCGAUAAAUGCACGAUGCAUGUAGAUGUACAAAUAGAUACCUAACCCCUUACCUA
Planococcus citri (citrus mealybug) is the source of this 447-nucleotide long non-coding RNA. RefSeq lists it as uncharacterized. NCBI's taxonomy places the organism in Eukaryota, Metazoa, Arthropoda, Insecta, Hemiptera, Pseudococcidae. The transcript has 2 exons. The record is from RefSeq and is a predicted model, not a curated record.